Molecule: ribosomal RNA, 253 nt
Filed under: uncultured bacterium
Lineage: Bacteria
Description: partial 16S ribosomal RNA
Rfam family: Bacterial small subunit ribosomal RNA
Source: RNAcentral
UACGGAGGGUGCGAGCGUUGUCCGGAAUCACUGGGCGUAAAGGGCGCGUAGGUGGCGCGGGCAGUCAACGGUGAAAGCUCGGCGCUCAACGCCGAGUCGGCCGUCGAUACUCCCGUGCUCGAGCACUGUAGAGGCAGGUGGAAUUCCGGGUGUAGCGGUGGAAUGCGUAGAGAUCCGGAAGAACACCGGUGGCGAAGGCGGCCUGCUGGGCAGUAGCUGACGCUGAGGCGCGACAGCGUGGGGAGCAAACAGG